This 120-nucleotide microRNA precursor is filed under the name Picea abies (Norway spruce). RNAcentral's name for it is "miR408 stem-loop (pab-MIR408)". Its record names the gene pab-MIR408. The record is from miRBase by way of RNAcentral. Lineage: Eukaryota; Viridiplantae; Streptophyta; Pinopsida; Pinales; Pinaceae.
AACGGUAGGGAGGCACAGAGAGACAGGGAAGAGUUAGGGCAUGGGAAUUGCACAGGCAGAAACGUCUGCUUCUGCCAUUCUCAUGCACUGCCUCUUCCCUGGCUCACUUCUUCUCCUGUU